CCUACGGGUGGCUGCAGUGAGGAAUAUUGGUCAAUGGACGAGAGUCUGAACCAGCCAAGUAGCGUGAAGGAUGACUGCCCUAUGGGUUGUAAACUUCUUUUAUAUGGGAAUAAAAUGUUCCACGUGUGGGAUUUUGUAUGUACCAUAUGAAUAAGGAUCGGCUAACUCCGUGCCAGCAGCCGCGGUAAUACGGAGGAUCCGAGCGUUAUCCGGAUUUAUUGGGUUUAAAGGGAGCGUAGGUGGGUUGUUAAGUCAGUUGUGAAAGUUUGCGGCUCAACCGUAGUAAGCCAUUGAAACUGGGGGACUUGAGUGCAGGAGAGGAAAGUGGAAUUCGUGGUGUAGCGGUGAAAUGCGUAGAUAUUAGGAAGAACACCAGUUGCGAAGGCGGCUCACUGAACUGUAACUGACAUUGAUGCACGAAAGCGUGGGGAGCAAACAGGAUUAGAUACCCGUGUAGUC
This 459-nucleotide ribosomal RNA is filed under the name uncultured bacterium. RNAcentral describes it as "partial 16S ribosomal RNA". It matches the Rfam family "Bacterial small subunit ribosomal RNA", at positions 338 to 795 of the family's 1533-position model. The record is from RNAcentral.